AGUGAACGCUGGCGGUAGACCUAACACAUGCAAGUCGAACGGCAGCACAGUAAGAGCUUGCUCUUACGGGUGGCGAGUGGCGGACGGGUGAGGAAUACAUCGGAAUCUACUUUUUCGUGGGGGAUAACGUAGGGAAACUUACGCUAAUACCGCAUACGACCUACGGGUGAAAGCAGGGGAUCUUCGGACCUUGCGCGAUUGAAUGAGCCGAUGUCGGAUUAGCUAGUUGGCGGGGUAAAGGCCCACCAAGGCGACGAUCCGUAGCUGGUCUGAGAGGAUGAUCAGCCACACUGGAACUUAGACACGGUCCAGACUCCUACGGGAGGCAGCAGUGGGGAAUAUUGGACAAUGGGCGCAAGCCUGAUCCAGCCAUACCGCGUGGGUGAAGAAGGCCUUCGGGUUGUAAAGCCCUUUUGUUGGGAAAGAAAAGCAGCAGGUUAAUACCCCGCUGUUCUGACGGUACCCAAAGAAUAAGCACCGGCUAACUUCGUG
RNAcentral lists this ribosomal RNA (492 nucleotides) under uncultured bacterium. RNAcentral's name for it is "partial 16S ribosomal RNA". It matches the Rfam family "Bacterial small subunit ribosomal RNA", at positions 29 to 507 of the family's 1533-position model. The record is from RNAcentral.